UGGGGGAUAUUGCGCAAUGGGGGAAACCCUGACGCAGCAACGCCGCGUGAAGGAUGAAGGUCUUCGGAUUGUAAACUUCUUUUAUUAAGGACGAAGAAAGUGACGGUACUUAAUGAAUAAGCUCCGGCUAACUACGUGCCAGCAGCCGCGGUAAUACGUAGGGAGCAAGCGUUGUCCGGAUUUACUGGGUGUAAAGGGUGCGUAGGCGGCUUUGCAAGUCAGAUGUGAAAUCUAUGGGCUCAACCCAUAGCCUGCAUUUGAAACUGCAGAGCUUGAGUGAAGUAGAGGCAGGCGGAAUUCCCCGUGUAGCGGUGAAAUGCGUAGAGAUGGGGAGGAACACCAGUGGCGAAGGCGGCCUGCUGGGCUUUAACUGACGCUGAGGCACGAAAGCGUGGGUAGCAAACAGGAUUAGAUACCCUGGUAGUCCACGCUGUAAACGAUGAUUACUAGGUGUGGGGGGUCUGACCCCUUCCGUGCCGGAGUUAACACAAUAAGUAAUCCACCUGGGGAGUACGGCCGCAAGGUUGAAACUCAAAGGAAUUGACGGGGGCCCGCACAAGCAGUGGAGUAUGUGGUUUAAUUCGAAGCAACGCGAAGAACCUUACCAGGUCUUGACAUCCAACUAACGAAGUAGAGAUACAUUAGGUGCCCUUCGGGGAAAGUUGAGACAGGUGGUGCAUGGUUGUCGUCAGCUCGUGUCGUGAGAUGUUGGGUUAAGUCCCGCAACGAGCGCAACCCUUGCUAUUAGUUGCUACGCAAGAGCACUCUAAUAGGACUGCCGUUGACAAAACGGAGGAAGGUGGGGACGACGUCAAAUCAUCAUGCCCCUUAUGACCUGGGCUACACACGUACUACAAUGGAUGUUAACAGAGGGAAGCAAGACAGCGAUGUGGAGCAAACCCCUAAAAACAUUCUCAGUUCAGAUUGCAGGCUGCAACCCGCCUGCAUGAAGAUGGAAUUGCUAGUAAUCGCGGAUCAGAAUGCCGCGGUGAAUACGUUCCC
Molecule: ribosomal RNA, 1002 nt
Filed under: uncultured bacterium
Lineage: Bacteria
Description: bacterial SSU rRNA
Rfam family: Bacterial small subunit ribosomal RNA
Source: RNAcentral